This 369-nucleotide ribosomal RNA is filed under the name uncultured eukaryote. Its description in RNAcentral is "SSU rRNA". It matches the Rfam family "Eukaryotic small subunit ribosomal RNA", at positions 587 to 972 of the family's 1831-position model. The record is from RNAcentral.
AGCUCCAAUAGCGUAUAUUAAAGUUGUUGCAGUUAAAAGCUCGUAGUUGGAUUUCUGGCAGGGCGCCGAGCAUCACUGCUGUGAAGCGAGGACCCGGCCAUCCUUCUGUCAACUUUCGGUUGGGAUUCAUUUCUCGCCAAAGCGAUCAGAUAAUUUACCUUGAGAAAAUUAGAGUGUUUCAGGCAGGCUUAGCCGGAAUACAUUAGCAUGGAAUAAUGGAAUAGGACUCGUGUCCCGUUGUUGGUUACGUGGAUAGGAGUAAUGAUUAAUAGGGAUAGUUGGGGGCAUUAGUAUUUAAUAGCUAGAGGUGGAAUUCUCUAAUUUGUUAAAGACUAACUUAUGCGAAAGCAUUUGCCAAGGAUGUUUUCA